This 497-nucleotide ribosomal RNA is filed under the name uncultured bacterium. RNAcentral's name for it is "partial 16S ribosomal RNA". It matches the Rfam family "Bacterial small subunit ribosomal RNA", at positions 28 to 507 of the family's 1533-position model. The record is from RNAcentral.
GACGAACGCUGGCGGCGUGCCUAAUACAUGCAAGUCGAGCGCUGAAGGCUGGUACUUGUACCAACUGGGUGAGCAGCGAACGGGAGAGUAACGCGUGGGGAAUCUGCCUUUGAGCGGGGGACAACAUUUGGAAACGAAUGCUAAUACCGCAUAAAAGCUUUAUACACAAGGUUGAAGUGUGAAAGAUGCAAUUGCAUCACUCAAAGAUGAUCCCGCGUUGUAUUAGCUAGUUGGUGAGGUAAAGGCUCACCAAGGCGAGGAUACAUAGCCGACCUGAGAGGGUGGUCGGCCACCUUGGGGCGGGGACGGGCCCCAAACUCCUGCGGGAGGCCGCAGUAGGGAAUCUGCGGCAGUGGUCGGGAGUCUUACCGAGCAAGGGCGCGUCAGUGAAGAAGGUUUUCGGAUCGUGAAGCUCGGUUGGUAGAGGAGAACGGUGGUGAGAGUGGAAAGAGCAUCAAGUGACGGUAACUGCCCAGGAAGGGACGGCUAACUACGUG